UGCCCAGACUCCUACGGGAGGCAGCAGUCGGGAAUAUUGCGCAAUGGAGGAAACUCUGACGCAGUGACGCCGCGUAUAGGAAGAAGGUUUUCGGAUUGUAAACUAUUGUCGUUAGGGAAGAUAAAAGACAGUACCUAAGGAGGAAGCUCCGGCUAACUACGUGCCAGCAGCCGCGGUAAUACGUAGGGAGCAAGUGUUAUCCGGAUUUAUUGGGUGUAAAGGGUGCGUAGACGGGAAAUUAAGUUAGUUGUGAAAUCCCUCGGCUCAACUGAGGAACUGCAACUAAAACUGAUUUUCUUGAGUGCAGGAGAGGUAAGUGGAAUUCCUAGUGUAGCGGUGAAAUGCGUAGAUAUUAGGAGGAACACCAGUGGCGAAGGCGGCCACCUGGACCGGUAUUGACGCUGAGGCGCGAAAGCGUGGGGAGCAAACAGGAUUAGAUACCCGUGUAC
Molecule: ribosomal RNA, 449 nt
Filed under: uncultured bacterium
Lineage: Bacteria
Description: bacterial SSU rRNA
Rfam family: Bacterial small subunit ribosomal RNA
Source: RNAcentral